This 301-nucleotide ribosomal RNA is filed under the name uncultured bacterium. RNAcentral describes it as "partial 16S ribosomal RNA". It matches the Rfam family "Archaeal small subunit ribosomal RNA", at positions 459 to 759 of the family's 1478-position model. The record is from RNAcentral.
CAGUCGCCACGGUAAUACCAGCAGCCCAAGUGGUGGUCGCGUUUAUUGGGCCUAAAGCGCUCGUAGCCUGACCGGUAAGUUCCCCGUGAAAUCGGGUCGCCCAACGAUUCGGCUUGCGGGGAAUACUGUCGGUCUUGGGGCCGGGAGACGCCGAGGGUACUCCGGGGGUAGCGGUGAAAUGCUGUAAUCCUCGGGGGACUACCAGUGGCGAAGGCGCUCGGCGAUAACGGGCCUGACGGUGAGGGGCGAAAGCUGGGGGCGCGAACGGGAUUAGAUACCUCAGUAGUCCCUGUCUCUUAUA